UUGGUGAUCGAUUGGUUGUGAUCCACCAUGCAGAAGUGAGUGAUGAAAGGCAACAGAGCUGAUGGGUCAUGAGGAUGUAAGUGCAUUUGAAGGCUCUCACACCCUCUACUCCAGGGUCCAUCUUGGGAAAAAGGGAAAAUUCACAUGGAGAAAGAAGCAGCUUCACAUCUUUGAGCCUACAUUUGCAGGGGAGCCAUAUCUGGCAACAGAGAAGGCAAUGGCACCCCACUCUAGUACUCCUGCCUGGGAAAUCCCAUGCGCAGAGGAGCCUGGCAGGCUGCAGUCCAUGGGGUCGCGAACAGUCGGAGACGACUGAGCAACUUCACUUUCACUUUUCACUUUCAUGCAUUGGAGGAGGAAAUGGCAACCCACUCCAGUGUUCUUGCCUGGAGAAUCCCAGGGACAGGGGAGCCUGGUGGGACACAGAGUUGGACACGACUGAAGUGACUUAGCAGCAGCGGCAGCAUGUCUGGCAAAAGCAUAGAUAAGGCAGUGCUUUUGGAAGGAGUAUCUGGUCAUUUUCUUCAAGUUCAACAUCUCUCAUCCAAUUAGAUGUAGCAGCUGGAUUCUCAUGUGUGCAUUCCAGUUACAGAGGAAGAAGAGUUGAACCACUUGUGGUGUCCCAGGUGGUAAAGAAUCUGCCUGCAAUGCAAGAGAUCCAGGUUCAAUCCCUGGGUCGGGAAGAUCUCCUGGAAAAGGGAAUGGCAAUCCACUCCAGUAUUCUUGCCUGGAGAAUUCCAUGGAUAGAGGAGCCUGGUGUACUACAGUCCAUGGGGUUGCAAAGAGUCGGACAUGACUAACUAACACUUUUACUUUCACUAACAUAGUGUUAUAUCUGCUGGGAAAGGUAUCAUUAUAAAUAAUGUGGGAAAUUUUAAAAAUUUUAAAUGUAGGUCCUAGAAUUUAGGGCUGGAAGAAAAUGUGAAGAGAAAGGAUAUUUUCAUCCUAUGCUUCAUCUUACAAUAAGGAAUUUGAGUCCCAUAGAAGAGACAUAAUAAGCCAUCAGAUCCUAUCUUGUUAUAACAUAAAAGAAUCAGGACUUAAGACACUAGCUCUUCUUGUACCAUGAUGCUGAUUUUUGUAAUUCAGUGAGUUCUGACCACUUACAUAAGAAUCCAGGGGCUCUCAUUCUGUUGCUGCUGUUCCCUUAAUUCUAGUAUUGGUAACAUGUGCUUGAUUUGAUUCCCCUGCUUUACCCACUUCAAUUUUAUUUUAUAUUUUAAAGCUGAGAAAAAUGAAGGUUGCUUUUAUUUAGGCCACGGCUACCACUAGUUGCUUUGCUUUAGCUGACAUCCUUUCUUACCUCAGUGGAUAGAAAUAUCAAUGAGAAUAUCCUUGUACAAGGAGGACAGAAGUGCUAGCCUACUCUUUAUGGAGGCCUAUUUUCCAACAGUUCUAUCUAGUCAAUCCUUGAAUGUGUUACUAGAGAUUGAAGACCUAAAAAAAGAAACCCCCCAGAAAAUUUCAAGCAAAAAUGUUUACCUCCUCAAGAUAAUUUUUUAAAGCCAAAUUGGAAAAAGGUGUAUUAUGAAAAAUGUUUAGAAUGAAAUGCAG
Molecule: long non-coding RNA, 1554 nt
Organism: Capra hircus (goat)
Lineage: Eukaryota; Metazoa; Chordata; Mammalia; Artiodactyla; Bovidae
Source: Ensembl